GCUACACAUGCAAGUUGAACGGAGUUAUAUUGUAGCUUGCUACGAUUUAACUUAGUGGCAGACGGGUGAGUAAUGUAUAGGAAUCUACCUAGUAGUACGGAAUAAUUGUUGGAAACGGCAACUAAUACCGUAUACGCCCUACGGGGGAAAGAUUUAUUGCUAUUAGAUGAGCCUAUAUUAGAUUAGCUAGUUGGUAGGGUAAAAGCUUACCAAGGCAAUGAUCUAUAGCUGAUCUGAGAGGAUGAUCAGCCACACUGGAACUGAGAUACGGUCCAGACUCCUACGGGAGGCAGCAGUGGGGAAUAUUGGACAAUGGGCGAAAGCCUGAUCCAGCCAUGCCGCAUGAGUGAAGAAGGCCUUCGGGUUGUAAAGCUCUUUUAGUGAGGAAGAUAAUGACGGUACUUACAGAAGAAGUCCCGGCAAACUCAAG
Molecule: ribosomal RNA, 430 nt
Filed under: Wolbachia pipientis
Lineage: Bacteria; Pseudomonadati; Pseudomonadota; Alphaproteobacteria; Rickettsiales; Anaplasmataceae
Description: bacterial SSU rRNA
Rfam family: Bacterial small subunit ribosomal RNA
Source: RNAcentral